CCUGCCUAUCUGAGGCCUUCCAAGGGUGAUUUUUGUUGAAGUUGAAUUUCACAGAUUCAUGUGGAUAGCUAUGUGGAUGUAUUUCUGUGUUGAAUCUCUCUGAUGUAAUUUUACCGUUAUUUAUCAUCCUAGGAAAUCAUUGCAUUUCAACAACAGCUAGUUUCCAAUCCAUUUUUCUGUUCAUCUUUGUGAUAUGAUCGCUGUUUAGAAGCACAAAAAUCAUCAUAGUUUCAACAUACAAGAAGAACACAGUGCACAGGAAACUAGUGCUUUUAGAACAGAAGACACUGCACAAUGUGAGGUACUGCUGGAGAAGAGUAUCCAAGUACUUUAAUAUCCAGUGAUGCAGAUGUGUUAUCUGCUUUGGUUUUUAAUGUAAUCAAGAUUUUUUUUUUCUUUAUAUUAAAUCACUCAUGGAGGGGAAAAAGAAACACCUUACAGGUUCUGUGACUCACUGCACCCAGGUUCUUCCGAAUUUCCAGUAUGCCUCGAGCUCUGUGUGUCUUUGGAUGGUACUCUUCGCCUAUGUUCCUAAUGAAAUGAUUACCUUCUGUAAAUAUCAAGUCUUGUUAAGUGAUCAGCCUCAAUACAAGAGCCCUCUGCAGCUCAAAUCGCACAGAAUAAAAUCUAAAACGGUUACUAUCAGGAGGUUUUCAUUAGAGGAGUGCAAACAAAAUUGUCAAAGUAUAAGAUUAUGUGAUUAUAAUCAAGAGGAAUUAGACAUGGAGAAAGGGGGAAAUGAUAAAAAAAAAAAAAGCAUCAGAACAUAAAGAACAUCCAUAGAAAGCAAAUGGUUCAAAUUUAUCUUGGGGAGGAAAGUUUAUAGUAACUGGAAAAUCCACAUCAUUUUUGACAUUGUCUGGUAUGAUAAGCUGGUAGUUGAAUAAUAGGCAAGGCAUCAACUACAAGGAUGUUAAUUUCUGUAUUAGAAUAUUCUUUUCCUGCAGAGGUCGUGAUUUACUUCAUUUCAUUUUGAAGGUUGUGAAUUUGUAAAGGGAAUCUGUGAUUGCUCUCUGAUUAAUAAGUAGAGGCUAUUUAAGUGUUAGUUUGAACGGCCCAUGUUUACUAUAACCUCACAGUUUGUAUACCAGUCAAAAUUA
RNAcentral lists this long non-coding RNA (1100 nucleotides) under Gallus gallus (chicken). RNAcentral's name for it is "lncRNA (ENSGALG00010026118.1)". Lineage: Eukaryota; Metazoa; Chordata; Aves; Galliformes; Phasianidae. The record is from RNAcentral.